Molecule: ribosomal RNA, 253 nt
Filed under: uncultured bacterium
Lineage: Bacteria
Description: partial 16S ribosomal RNA
Rfam family: Bacterial small subunit ribosomal RNA
Source: RNAcentral
UACGAAGGGGGCUAGCGUUGCUCGGAAUCACUGGGCGUAAAGGGUGCGUAGGCGGGUCUUUAAGUCAGGGGUGAAAUCCUGGAGCUCAACUCCAGAACUGCCUUUGAUACUGAAGAUCUUGAGUGCGGGAGAGGUGGGUGGAACUGCGAGUGUAGAGGUGAAAUUCGUAGAUAUUCGCAAGAACACCAGUGGCGAAGGCGGCUCACUGGCCCGAUACUGACGCUGAGGCACGAAAGCGUGGGGAGCAAACAGG